This 627-nucleotide long non-coding RNA is filed under the name Anas platyrhynchos platyrhynchos (common mallard). RNAcentral's name for it is "lncRNA (ENSAPLG00000025478.1)". Lineage: Eukaryota; Metazoa; Chordata; Aves; Anseriformes; Anatidae. The record is from RNAcentral.
CUGCGAUGUUUUAAAAGAGGCUCCUUAGGAGUGGUUCCUGGAAAUGGGAGGGUGGUGAUUGCACCAGUCAGAGCUGCUAUGGGAGCUGGAGUGACAUCUGGAGAUGAUUCCCUUUCCUCCUCUCCUCUGCAGUGCAGGAGUGUGUGACCUUCUUCAUCAAACGUAGAUGUACCAGCUAGUCACGUGCCACUAAUGCUGAAUGAAUCUGGGAAGGAAGAAGUGCUGGCCUGUCAACUCUCAUUAAAAAAACGAAUAGGAAGAGGACCAAGUGCUGGCUGUCCAUGUGCAUGGAUGUGUGCUGCAGAUCCUGGGGAAGCAGAACGCUUUUGCCUUCAUUUUGGCUCUGUUGAGGUCUGACACAAGAGGCAGAGGUGAGCAUGCUGAAUAUGGGCAAGAUGCCCUCAAAUCUGCCUCUGCUUCCCUCCCUCAGUGUGCAUCUUGUGCAAGGCAAGUGGGCUGCAAGCAUUGUUUGAGGGUAAACAGGUAGAGGAUGUUGAUGAUUUCAGUAAGUGUACAAACUGCUUUUCAAGUAUGCUUAUAUUAGGGCCAUACUGUGUAAUAUCCACAAGCUCUGGUCUAAUUUAGCUUCAUGGCAGUAGCUUGAGUGAAUAGUGUUCACCCGGAAUG